GCGGAAGUGGUGAAAUUGGUAUACACGCAACCUUGAGGUGGUUGUGCCUAACGGCGUGGGGGUUCAAGUCCCCCCUUCCGCACCA
Molecule: transfer RNA, 85 nt
Filed under: Moraxellaceae bacterium
Lineage: Bacteria; Pseudomonadati; Pseudomonadota; Gammaproteobacteria; Moraxellales; Moraxellaceae
Also listed under: 1 other name
Description: tRNA-Leu
Rfam family: tRNA
About the family: Transfer RNA (tRNA) molecules are approximately 80 nucleotides in length. Their secondary structure includes four short double-helical elements and three loops (D, anti-codon, and T loops).
Source: RNAcentral